AUCGAUACUCCACGAUAAAUUUAACUUUAUUCAAAAAUUUAUAUACCGCCAUCUUAAGAAUUAAUUAAAAAAUAUUUCUCCAAAGAACAAUUAAAAAGUUAGGUCAAGGUGUAAUCAAUAUUAAAGAAUUAGAUGAAUUACAUUAAAUACUAUUUAAAGAUUUUAAAUAAAUUUAUUUACAUAAAUAAGGAUUUAAAAGUAAUAUUUUAAUAAUAAUACAAUAUGAAUUGAAUAACAAAUGUGUACACAUCGCCC
Molecule: ribosomal RNA, 255 nt
Filed under: Platocoelotes kailiensis
Lineage: Eukaryota; Metazoa; Arthropoda; Arachnida; Araneae; Agelenidae
Description: partial 12S ribosomal RNA
Source: RNAcentral